RNAcentral lists this unclassified non-coding RNA (147 nucleotides) under uncultured fungus. RNAcentral describes it as "sequence contains ITS1". The record is from RNAcentral. Lineage: Eukaryota; Fungi.
CUGAGUGAGGGCCCCCCGGGCCCGACCUCCAACCCACUGUAAUCCGACUCUGUUGCCUCGGGGGCGACCCGGCCUUCGGGCGUCGGGGCCCCCGGUGGACCACUUAACUCUGCAUCUUUGCGUCUGAGUGAUAAACCAAAAUUAUCA